GAGUGCUGGUUGAGGACAGGAUUGGGCUCAGCUGUCAUAUUCCUGUGCUGUGAUCAAAUAGCUUGUGGGCCUCACUGUUGAGCCUCACAAUUAUGGCAACUUGGGAAAGGUACAAGAUAAAAAACAGACAUGUCUCACAAAUAUUUGUUUUCUUUAAUAGAGUGCCUGUGAGGGGAGCCUGGCAUCACGUGGAACAAAUGUCCACUGGUUCAUGAUGUUAUGCUGCCAAAAUAUCUUAAAGGGUUAACAAGAAUCAAGUGAAAAGAAGCCCUGCUUCCCAGGAUUGAAACAGCUGAAUGGUUAGUCCCAUUCUUAUUAUUAUUCAUUUUCUCCGUACUUCUGCUUUUCAGAUAUUAAUCUAAUGAAAGCUAAUACAGAUUCUGCCUCAGCCAUCCUUGUAGGUUGGACAUGCCACAUCCUAGCAAUGUUCAGCCAAUUUGUGCCCAGCGAUGUCCCGCAAAACAGCCAUGGAGUGAGUGACCAAUUUUAUUUGGAGGGAAUGUUGGCCAGGACACCACAAGAAACUCGCUUCUCUUUUCGAAUAGAGUCAUGGUCUCUUGAACCCGAACAGGCAGACAGGACUUCAGUUUAACGUCUCAUCCGAAGGACAGCAAUGCAACUCUCCCCAGCACUACAUUAGAGUGUUAUCUUAGACUAUGUGAUUCCAAGUCCCGAUGUGGGGCUUGAACCACCAACCUUCUGACUCAAAGGUCGCCCUGUUCUAGAAAUAAUUUCCCACCAAGAUGGUAAUGGGAGAGGAGAUCUGCUGCCAGACGCCCCCAACCCCAAUUGGGGAACAAAAUUGGUUUCUCCUCAGCACCUCUAUUUGACAACACAGAUUGUGAACUCAGUUCAUGUAUGGUGCAGCCAAGCUCCUUUACAUUGUGCCUCUCCUCGUCUUGAAUCUCCUCAUCUUAUUCUGUGAAGCGCUUUCAGAUGUCUCGAAGAUGUGAUAAGACGCAAUAUCAAAUGCAAGGAUUAUUAUUAUCUUGGGUUUCAGUUUUGAUUAACGCAGUUUAAUCAUGCAGGAGACACCAAAGUAGACUUGUGACUAUUUUACACCAACAAGUAAAUUCCCUAUUUAUAAGCAGACAAUUACUUGCAAUAACACCCUGUUUGUGGAAUUCUUUCAUUGUAUUGUUUAAACAUUUAAAGAAUUCAUAUCACAUGAGUCGUUCUGAAAUACCAGUAUAAUUAUAGUGGAGGUUGCCAAAUCUUGCCGGUUAGACAAGAUUUAAUGCCUAAGAGUCACCGCAGAGACAUCCCUGGCAUCUGUGCUGAUGGUUAUUUUAGGUACAUUUUACCUAAGGUUUCAUUAAAUUCCCAGAAAAUUUAAAC
This is a long non-coding RNA of Callorhinchus milii (elephant shark), 1338 nucleotides long. RefSeq lists it as uncharacterized. The record is from RefSeq and is a predicted model, not a curated record. Lineage: Eukaryota; Metazoa; Chordata; Chondrichthyes; Chimaeriformes; Callorhinchidae. The transcript is spliced from 4 exons.